CCUACGGGUGGCAGCAGUGAGGAAUAUUGGUCAAUGGACGAGAGUCUGAACCAGCCAAGUAGCGUGAAGGAUGACUGCCCUAUGGGUUGUAAACUUCUUUUAUAUGGGAAUAAAACAGGGUAUGCAUACCCUCUUGUAUGUACCAUAUGAAUAAGGAUCGGCUAACUCCGUGCCAGCAGCCGCGGUAAUACGGAGGGUCCGAGCGUUAUCCGGAUUUAUUGGGUUUAAAGGGAGCGUAGGCGGGUUGUUAAGUCAGUUGUGAAAGUUUGCGGCUCAACCGUAAAAUUGCAGUUGAAACUGGCGGUCUUGAGUGCGGUGAAGGUAGGCGGAAUUCGUGGUGUAGCGGUGAAAUGCUUAGAUAUCACGAAGAACCCCGAUUGCGAAGGCAGCUCGCUGGACUGCAACUGACGCUGAUGCUCGAAAGUGUGGGUAUCAAACAGGAUUAGAUACCCGGGUAGUC
This 460-nucleotide ribosomal RNA is filed under the name uncultured bacterium. RNAcentral describes it as "partial 16S ribosomal RNA". It matches the Rfam family "Bacterial small subunit ribosomal RNA", at positions 338 to 795 of the family's 1533-position model. The record is from RNAcentral.